GCAUAUCAAAAAGCGGAGGAAAAGAAACCAACUGGGAUUACCUUAGUAACGGCGAGUGAAGCGGUAAAAGCUCAAAUUUGAAAUCUGGUACUUUCAGUGCCCGAGUUGUAAUUUGUAGAAUUUGUCUUUGAUUAGGUCCUUGUCUAUGUUCCUUGGAACAGGACGUCAUAGAGGGUGAGAAUCCCGUUUGGCGAGGAUACCUUUUCUCUGUAAGACUUUUUCGAAGAGUCGAGUUGUUUGGGAAUGCAGCUCAAAGUGGGUGGUAAAUUCCAUCUAAAGCUAAAUAUUGGCGAGAGACCGAUAGCGAACAAGUACAGUGAUGGAAAGAUGAAAAGAACUUUGAAAAGAGAGUGAAAAAGUACGUGAAAUUGUUGAAAGGGAAGGGCAUUUGAUCAGACAUGGUGUUUUUUGCAUGCACUCGCCUCUCGUGGGCUUGGGCCUCUCAAAAAUUUCACUGGGCCAACAUCAAUUCUGGCAGCAGGAUAAAUCAUUAAGAAUGUAGCUACUUCGGUAGUGUUAUAGCUUUUUGGAAUACUGUUAUGUCUCUGGGCUAUUCGAGGACUGCGCUUCGGCAAGGAUGUUGGCAUAAUGGUUAAAUGCCGCCCGUCUU
RNAcentral lists this ribosomal RNA (610 nucleotides) under Hanseniaspora uvarum. RNAcentral describes it as "eukaryotic LSU rRNA". It matches the Rfam family "Eukaryotic large subunit ribosomal RNA", at positions 38 to 655 of the family's 3401-position model. Lineage: Eukaryota; Fungi; Ascomycota; Saccharomycetes; Saccharomycodales; Saccharomycodaceae. The record is from RNAcentral.